Molecule: non-coding RNA, 91 nt
Organism: Mycena metata
Lineage: Eukaryota; Fungi; Basidiomycota; Agaricomycetes; Agaricales; Mycenaceae
Source: the annotation of a GenBank genome assembly
GGCCAGGUGGCGGAGUGGCAACGCAUGCGAGACGAAUACAGACACCGCAAUGUUUCCUCGCAAUGUCUCUGUUUGAUUCGGGGUCUGGCCC